ACGGGAGGCAGCAGUGGGGAAUAUUGCGCAAUGGGGGAAACCCUGACGCAGCGACGCCGCGUGAGUGAAGAAGUAUUUCGGUAUGUAAAGCUCUAUCAGCAGGGAAGAUAAUGACGGUACCUGACUAAGAAGCACCGGCUAAAUACGUGCCAGCAGCCGCGGUAAUACGUAUGGUGCAAGCGUUAUCCGGAUUUACUGGGUGUAAAGGGAGCGUAGGUGGUUUGGCAAGCCAGAGGUGAAAACCCGGGGCUUAACUCCGGGAUUGCCUUUGGAACUGUUGGACUAGAGUGCAGGAGGGGUAAGUGGAAUUCCCAGUGUAGCGGUGAAAUGCGUAGAUAUUGGGAGGAACACCGGUGGCGAAGGCGGCUUACUGGACUGUAACUGACACUGAGGCUCGAAAGCGUGGGGAGCAAACAGGAUUAGAUACCCUGGUA
RNAcentral lists this ribosomal RNA (434 nucleotides) under uncultured Lachnospiraceae bacterium. RNAcentral's name for it is "bacterial SSU rRNA". It matches the Rfam family "Bacterial small subunit ribosomal RNA", at positions 341 to 792 of the family's 1533-position model. Lineage: Bacteria; Bacillati; Bacillota; Clostridia; Lachnospirales; Lachnospiraceae. The record is from RNAcentral.